Molecule: ribosomal RNA, 468 nt
Filed under: uncultured bacterium
Lineage: Bacteria
Description: partial 16S ribosomal RNA
Rfam family: Bacterial small subunit ribosomal RNA
Source: RNAcentral
GACGAACGCUGGCGGCGUGCUUAACACAUGCAAGUCGAACGGAAAGGCCCUGCUUUUGUGGGGUGCUCGAGUGGCGAACGGGUGAGUAACACGUGAGUAAACUGCCCCUGACUUUGGGAUAUCUUCAGGAAACUGGGGCUAAUACCGGAUAGGAUCUCCUGCUGCACGGUGGGGGUUGGAAAGUUUCGGCGGUUGGGGAUGGACUCGCGGCUUAUCCGCUUGUUGGUGGGGUAGUGGCUUACGAAGGCUUCGACGGGUAGCCGGCCUGAGAGGGUGACCGGCCACAUUAGGACUGAGAGACGGCCCAGACGCCUACGGGAGGCAGCAGUGGGGAAUAUUGCACAAUGGGCGGAAGCCUGAUGCAGCAACGCCGCGUGCGGGAUGACGGCCUUCGGGUUGUAAACCGCUUUCGCCUGUGACGAAGCGUGAGUGACGGUAAUGGGUAAAGAAGCACCGGCUAACUACGUG